GAUGAACGCUGGCGGCGUGCCUAAUACAUGCAAGUCGAGCGAACAGACGAGGAGUUUGCUCCUCUGACGUUAGCGGCAGACGGGUGAGUAACACGUGUAUAACCUACCUAUAAGACGGGGAAAACUUCGGGAAACCGGAGCUAAUACCGGAUAAUAUAUUGCACCGCAUGGUUCAAUGGAGAAAUACGGUUUUGCUGGCACUUCUAGAUGGAUCCGCGCCGCAUUAGCUAGUUGGUAAGGUAACGGCUUACCAAGGCAACGAUGCGUAGCCGACCUGAGAGGGUGAUCGGCCGCACUGGAACUGAGACACGGUCCAGACUCCUACGGGAGGCAGCAGUAGGGAAUCUGCCGCAAUGGGCGAAAGUUUGACGGAGCAACGCGGCGUGAGUGAUGAAGGUCUUGGGAUCGUAAAACUCUGUUAUUAGGGAAGAACAAAUGUGUAAGUAACUAUGCACGUCUUGACGGUACCUAAUCAGAAAGCCACGGCUAACUACGUG
RNAcentral lists this ribosomal RNA (497 nucleotides) under uncultured bacterium. Its description in RNAcentral is "partial 16S ribosomal RNA". It matches the Rfam family "Bacterial small subunit ribosomal RNA", at positions 28 to 507 of the family's 1533-position model. The record is from RNAcentral.